RNAcentral lists this ribosomal RNA (496 nucleotides) under uncultured bacterium. RNAcentral describes it as "bacterial SSU rRNA". It matches the Rfam family "Bacterial small subunit ribosomal RNA", at positions 28 to 517 of the family's 1533-position model. The record is from RNAcentral.
GAUUAACGCUAGCGGCAGGCCUAAUACAUGCAAGUCGAGGGGCAGCAGGGUGUAGCAAUACAUCGCUGGCGACCGGCGCACGGGUGCGUAACACGUAUGCAACCUACCUUUAACUGGGGAAUAGCCCUCCGAAAGGAGGAUUAACACCGCAUAACAUCACGAGACGGCAUCGCCUUGUGAUCAAACCUCCGGGGGUUAAAGAUGGGCAUGCGUCCGAUUAGCUAGUUGGCGGGGUAACGGCCCACCAAGGCGACGAUCGGUAGGGGGUCUGAGAGGAUGAUCCCCCACACUGGUACUGAGACACGGACCAGACUCCUACGGGAGGCAGCAGUAAGGAAUAUUGGACAAUGGUCGCAAGACUGAUCCAGCCAUGCCGCGUGCAGGAUGAACGAUCUAUGAUCUGUAAACUGCUUUUGUUCGGGAAUAAACCCCUUCACGUGUGGAGGGCUGAAUGUACCGAAAGAAUAAGGGUCGGCUAACUUCGUGCCAGCAGCCG